RNAcentral lists this transfer RNA (72 nucleotides) under Mesocricetus auratus (golden hamster). It matches the Rfam family "tRNA". From Rfam's summary of the family: Transfer RNA (tRNA) molecules are approximately 80 nucleotides in length. Their secondary structure includes four short double-helical elements and three loops (D, anti-codon, and T loops). The record is from Rfam by way of RNAcentral. Lineage: Eukaryota; Metazoa; Chordata; Mammalia; Rodentia; Cricetidae.
GGUGGUGUAGCUGAGUGGUAGAGCGAUCACCUAGCAUGUAUUAGGCCCUGGGUUUGAUCCUCAGCACUGCAA